Schizophyllum amplum is the source of this 127-nucleotide non-coding RNA. NCBI's taxonomy places the organism in Eukaryota, Fungi, Basidiomycota, Agaricomycetes, Agaricales, Schizophyllaceae. The record is from the annotation of a GenBank genome assembly.
GGCGAGAUGGCCGAGCGGUCUAAGGCGCCAGACUAAGGAUCAAUCACCUUCGUGUGGUACAUCUUCCAUUGGAAUUUCCAAAGGAAUCUGGUCUUUCGAGGCGUGGGUUCGAAUCCCACUCUCGUCA